GCGCGAUACAGGGUGACAGCCCCGUACACAAAAGCGCAUGUGCUGUGAGCUCGAUGAGUAGGGCGGGACACGUGGUAUCCUGUCUGAAUAUGGGGGGACCAUCCUCCAAGGCUAAAUACUCCUGACUGACCGAUAGUGAACCAGUACCGUGAGGGAAAGGCGAAAAGAACCCCGGCGAGGGGAGUGAAAAAGAACCUGAAACCGUGUACGUACAAGCAGUGGGAGCCCCACCACUAAGCCAGUGGUGAACUCCACAUCCGCAUCCUUUGCUGAGGAUACGGUUAACGGAGCGAAAGCGACGUUCAACCGCAAAACAAGCAGAGGGGGCUUAGUGGUGGGGUGACUGCGUACCUUUUGUAUAAUGGGUCAGCGACUUAUAUUCUGUAGCAAGGUUAACCGAAUAGGGGAGCCGGAGGGAAACCGAGUCUUAAUUGGGCGUUAAGUUGCAGGGUAUAGACCCGAAACCCGGUGAUCUAGCCAUGGGCAGGUUGAAGGUUGGGUAACACUAACUGGAGGACCGAACCGACUAAUGUUGAAAAAUUAGCGGAUGACCUGUGGCUGGGGGUGAAAGGCCAAUCAAA
RNAcentral lists this ribosomal RNA (581 nucleotides) under Salmonella enterica subsp. enterica serovar Typhimurium. RNAcentral's name for it is "partial 23S ribosomal RNA". It matches the Rfam family "Bacterial large subunit ribosomal RNA", at positions 352 to 837 of the family's 2925-position model. The record is from RNAcentral. Lineage: Bacteria; Pseudomonadati; Pseudomonadota; Gammaproteobacteria; Enterobacterales; Enterobacteriaceae.